UACGGGGGGGGUAAGCGUUGUCCGGAAUUACUGGGCGUAAAGGGCUCGUAGGCGGCCAACUAAGUCAUACGUGAAAUCCCUCGGCUCAACUGAGGAACUGCCUUUGAAACUGUCUGGCUUGAGGCCGGGAGAGGGUAGCGGAAUUCCCAGUGUAGCGGUGAAAUGCGUAGAUAUUGGGAGGAACACCAGUGGCGAAGGCGGCUACCUGGACCGGUUCUGACGCUGAGGCGCGAAAGCGUGGGUAGCAAACAGG
Molecule: ribosomal RNA, 253 nt
Filed under: uncultured bacterium
Lineage: Bacteria
Description: partial 16S ribosomal RNA
Rfam family: Bacterial small subunit ribosomal RNA
Source: RNAcentral